CGGCUCCUACCGGCGCCGGCGGGGCGCACAGCCCAGCGGUUGCCUGGGCUCUGCAGUUUGCAGCUCCGGGGUGCCCGGGCACAGGCGACCGUGGAGAGGAGAGGCCAGGAUGUGGGAGCACCGCACGGCACAGCCAUUAACUGGCGCGGCUCUGGACUGGAAUAUCGACUGCAGAAACGAGGACGCGCAGCUGGGAGCUCUGGAGGAGCUUGAGACUCCCUCCAGAAACGUGCCAGGCGCGGUGUUGGGAAUCCACCUAGGUGUUCACUCGGGAAAGAUAAGGCUGCGCCGCUUGGAAGGGCUCCACCCGCGUCCCUGCUGUACUUUGUACCCUGGAGAGUUGGCGGGUUCUGGCAGACGAGAGUUUAAAGGCUUGGGCGGGCGGGGACGCCAGCUCUUCUAAAUCCAGGUGAGGAGCUGCCGCCGUGCGAUGACCAGACCUGUCACCAACCCCAGGAACGGCAGGGCGACAUUCGAGUUUUUCCGGGAAGAGCUAGGAUGUCAGCUCUUUCUGAGGCUUGAUUUGUGAGCUGGCUCUGGGUCACGUGCCCAAACCAUUAGGAGAUAUCAAUGUAGGCAAGCCUGAAGCUCACUGACUUCAUUUAAGAAUCAAAACGGUUUUCCCGUAAGAAAGAAUGUAUGUUCCGUUAUCAGGAUUUUAAACGAACCCUGGGACUUACCACCAUUCUUACUCUAGGGUCUCUUUGGCUUUCCAACUGUUCCUGUGGAAGGAAGAAUCACACUCCAUGCAACUU
Molecule: long non-coding RNA, 755 nt
Filed under: Homo sapiens (human)
Lineage: Eukaryota; Metazoa; Chordata; Mammalia; Primates; Hominidae
Description: HSALNT0209756
Source: RNAcentral